CAGUCGUACCGGCGGAUAAUCAGCCUUUCGGGUGCGAUUCUGUGAGGCGUGAGGAGCUUGACCGCCUUCAUGUUUUGCAUAUUCGUGCACAUUUGGUGUACUUGUCCGUGUGGUGGGUUAACAUCAAUUUCGGUCGUCAUAAAAUGAUUGGAGGAAUGUAGCUUUGGUCUCGUAUCGAAGUGUUAUAGACUCUGGUAGAUGUGACGACUGGGAUUGGAGGAUCGCAACGGAUACCCC
RNAcentral lists this ribosomal RNA (237 nucleotides) under Rhizophagus irregularis. Lineage: Eukaryota; Fungi; Glomeromycota; Glomeromycetes; Glomerales; Glomeraceae. The record is from RNAcentral.